CGAGCGGAAACGAUCUCAUCUUGCUGCGAAGCGUCGAGCGGCGGACGGGUGGCGUAAUGCAUAGGAAGCUGCCCGGUAGUGGGGGAUAAGCUUGAGGAAACUCAAGCUAAUACCGCAUACGCCCUACGGGGGAAAGCAGGGGCUCUUCGGACCUUGCGCUAUCGGAUGAGCUUAUGUCGGAUUAGCUAGUUGGUGAGGUAACGGCUUACCAAGGCGACGAUCCGUAGCUGGUCUGAGAGGAUGAUCAGCCACAUCGGGACUGAGACACGGCCCGAACUCCUACGGGAGGCAGCAGUGGGGAAUAUUGGACAAUGGGCGAAAGCCUGAUCCAGCCAUGCCGCCGUGUGUGAAGAAUGCCCUCGGGUUGUAAAGCACUUUCAAGUGAGGAAGGAAGGCUUGUCCGUUAAUACCCGGCAGGAAAUGACAUCACUCACAGAGAGAAGCCCCGGCUAACUCCGGUGCCAACAGGGGCGGUAAUACGGACGGGGCAAAGCGUUAAUCCGGAAUUACUGGGCGUAAA
This 520-nucleotide ribosomal RNA is filed under the name bacterium 'A207-UMH 22% pond'. RNAcentral describes it as "bacterial SSU rRNA". It matches the Rfam family "Bacterial small subunit ribosomal RNA", at positions 63 to 564 of the family's 1533-position model. The record is from RNAcentral.